CUUUAUUAUCAGGGUGGGGAGGCGGCUGAGCUGAAACAGAAAGUAAAGUUGUUCUUUUGUUCAGGAUCCAUUUUGAGACGACAGAGCAGAAAAGACUACAUAGAGAUUAUUGAAAAAUAAAGGGUCAGUGCUCUAAAAUGAGUCUCUCUGGGGAGAGAGAGGAGGGGGGCCCUGACUCUAAAAUGAGUCUCUCUGAGGAGAGAGAGGAGGGGGGCCCUGCCUCUAAAAUGAGUCUCUCCGGGAAGAGAGAGGAGGGGGGCCCUGCCUCUAAAAUGAGUCUCUCCGGGAAGAGAGAGGAGGGGGGCCCUGCCUCUAAAAUGAGUCUCUCCGGGAAGAGAGAGGAGGGGGGCCCUGCCUCUAAAAUUCAUCUCUCUGAGGGACAUGACACCAAAGCUAAGAGGUAAGAUGAUAAUUUUAUGAAUAAUUUAUAAAGUUUAUUUCCAAAAUAAAUAGCUAUCUUAAGAUGAAUGCACUUACUGUAAAUCGUUCUGGAUAAGAGCAUCUGCUAAAUCAGGGUUCUCAAUCCGGGGUCUGUGGAGGUACUGCAGGGGUUCUCAAUCCGGGGUCUGUGGAGGUACUGCAGGGGUUCUCAAUCCGGGGUCUGUGGAGGUACUGCAGGGGUUCUCAAUCCGGGGUCUGUGGAGGUACUGCAGGGGUUCCUCGCCACCCUGACUGUACUCGUUGCAAUGUCAGACAUUUGAU
Long non-coding RNA from Oncorhynchus keta (chum salmon), 702 nucleotides. RefSeq lists it as uncharacterized. Lineage: Eukaryota; Metazoa; Chordata; Actinopteri; Salmoniformes; Salmonidae. The transcript has 3 exons. The record is from RefSeq and is a predicted model, not a curated record.